This is a long non-coding RNA of Megachile rotundata (alfalfa leafcutting bee), 5068 nucleotides long. The record is from RefSeq and is a predicted model, not a curated record. NCBI's taxonomy places the organism in Eukaryota, Metazoa, Arthropoda, Insecta, Hymenoptera, Megachilidae.
GUUAGAUACAUUUAUUUAUUUGUUUAUUUGUUUAUUUAUUUAUUUAUUCAUUCAUCGUGUAUUUAUAGUAUGUACAAAUUAGUCUCUAACCACAUAAUGGACGCAACAAAUGAAUCUGUGUAUUAUGUACAAAUAUAUAUGAUUACAGAUACAUUGAAAAUGUUCACACAUCAAACACAAAGGUAUGCGUGUAGUUGAAUUUUAUAUGCUGCGUCACAGUUUAAUAUGUAUAGCUAAUACAUAUAGCUUUCUGUCUUUUUACCUUUUUUCAUAUUCUUCAUUUAUAGAAUAUAACUAUGUGGAAUAUAGGAGCUUUCCGACAGAUUAUUUUGAAUCAUGCAAACUCUUUCACCCGGAAAUUGGAAGAUAUCGAUAAAUACAAAAGCAUCAAUUGAUUUUUACAUUACAUAUGAAUAUAUGUUAAAAGGCACUGAACAUACAACGAGAUCGUCCGCAAUGUAAAUGAUAAUAUAGAACACAUAAGUUUACAGGAGCAAUUAAAUAUAACCCAGUGAUGGAUAGAUCAAGUGCCCAUCAAAGAGUUCACAGACACACAAACUAUGAGGGGAAGAAAUUCCAAAUGAAACUCACAAAUUUUCAGAUUUACUUUUCAAUAUUCAAAUUUUCAUAGCAAUGUAAUGGGAGUUUAAUGUACUCAUCGGUGUCCGAGCCCUUGUGGGCAAUUGUCCAUCACUGACGUAACCGAUAAGAAUACUUCUCAUUCCUUCAUCAUUUGAAACGAAUCCAUAGUAUUUCGAAUCAUAACACUAUAAGUGUAAUUACUCGAUACAAACUAAUCAGUUCAUAUUAAAAUAAAAUGAAAAAAAUUCAUCGCAUUUAUAUCUUAAUGGAGAUUUUAGACGAUCAAUAUAUAUUUUCAAUAUCUCAUGGAUCGAUCAAUUAUUGUCAAUAUUUCAGUAUUGUCAAUAAAUAGAGCCCUGAAACAUUAACAGUAUAUAUUGAUUGUUUCAGAUGUCCACAUCAAAUCUAAACAAUUUCAAUACUUUGAAUCUGUAACAUAUCAAACAAAAGUAGACCAUUUACAAAAUUAAUAUUUGAACAUAAAUAUUAUUUGUUAAUUUAGUUAAACAUACCAUGAGCAAUAUUUAUAAUAAAAAUUAAGAUAUAUUGUUUGCAUUUUCUUUCAAAGAACGAUAGCAACGUUGUAAAUGGUUUUUUCUUGGACCCAAAUAUACAAAUUCAUUUUAAAACGACGAAAUGUACAGUGCAUAUGUAAUUAUCUUGCUGGUAACUCGUGUCACAUUUGAUACGAACAUUUUUGCAACUCAGUUCCUGUGCCUGAUAGAUAAACUUCUCUUGUCUCAUGUAGUAUGUAUAUCAGUUAAGAAUAUUGCAUACGCAUACUCGUUAUUUGAAAUUGUACAGAGUAUAUACGAUUACGCAAUUCUCAUAACAGAUAGCUUUGAACUAAAUUAAUCACUGUACUUAACUAGCCGUAAGCAGAACCUUUAACAUUAGACACUUAUUACAUGAAGGUUGACGAAGAAUAGUAGAUAUAUUCCAGGAAGUAACAUGUUCAAGAGAUAAUCGCUUGUAUUUUUAUAAUUUGACAUUUAUAAGAGUUUAUUUUAACAAUUUUAAUGAGAACGUUCCAUUUAAUUAUAUGGUAACAUAAUUUCUUUUCAUUAGUUAAUCCCUUUAAGUUGAACACAAUAAUUCAUCUGUCAUGAUAAGAUUUAUGUUGAAACAAUUAAAUUUGAUAUGAUAAGUUUCAAAAUAGAAAUUCACGUGUAAAUGCACAUGUUACAGUCUAUAAUAAUAAGUGUAAAACUCUUGUACAUGGUUUUCUCAUAAUAAUAUUAUAAAAGAAUAAUUAAAUAUUUGUAAUGCGCAGUUACAAUUAGCAUGAAAUUUCCAUAUAUAGUUUUUGAAAAUUUGUUAAUGUAGUUAUCAUAGACAUUGUAGUCCAGUGCCCACUAUAAUAAACAAAUCUUAUUUACAAAUUGUAGUUUUCUAUUAAAUGUACAUAACAUAACGUUCAUAACAUACGUUAUGUUCGUAGAACGCAGAAUAAUAACAAUAAGAAUUUAGUUAGGAAUGUUAAAACACCAAAUUAAUUGAUAAAUAUAUAUAUAUGUGUAUAACAAAAUCUUUGUCGUCCUUUUUAACAUCAUGAUAAUAACGAUGCAUUUAAUUAUAGUUUAUUCGAUACUUGUCUGCAAAAAUGGUCGGUGUAGUAGUUACAAAUAUUUCAGUAGCAUUAUUUUGUUAUUUCUGUACAUUUUGUGUUUUACAUGAAACCGUUAAAAAAGUUACUAACAAUUAAGUCAUUAAUACUACACUUGUGCGAUAAAAUAAUGCAGAAACUUUUCAACAAAAUUUCAACGCUUAAACAGAAAAAUGUUCAUCCUUGUGAAAAAUGUAAAUAUAUUCAAUACAAUAUAUAUGUUUAGCUUAAAAUAUUUCAUAUAUCUUAAAUACAUAAUCGUUUAAAGUACAACUCAAUACUAAAGAUUAUAUUUUCAUUUAAUAAUCAUGAGUUUAAUAUUUACAAAUAAUUUAUUUUAUUGUACGCCUGGUGGUUCCUACAAACAUAGAGCUUCUGAAUCAAAAUAAAUCUUUCCACUUUCAACAAAAUACGGAAUAGAAUAUUUAUUUAUUUUUGUUAAUGAAGUUACAUUAGAAUUAUAUAAAUUUUGUCUCUUUGCUACAGACUUUUAUUCAGUUAAAAUAAAAUUGACAAAUGAUUGAAUAUUACGCAACAUGUAAUAGUAUCUUUCAUAUGACAGAAAUUAUACCUUUAGACAAAAUAAACAAAAGUGUAUUGUUUUGAAUAAUCAUAUUUUGCCUUUUUCUAGAAACAUAAUCUUUUAAAUUAUAGAAACAAAAAACUUAUUACAGCGUAGUCUCGUUAUAUAACUCUCAUUUAUAUGGCUUGUUAAGCAAAUGUACUAACAGCCCUUCAGGGUCAUAUAGUGAGACUUCGCUAUACAUAUUGUUAAGUUCUAAAAGCAAUGUAUGAAAUAUUAUAACGUAAGAUAAUAAGGGAAGACGAUAAAGUUUCGAACUAUGCAGUAUAAUUAUACAUUAUUAUUUGUUAGGGAUAUCGUAUUUUACAAAAUAAUGUUAAUUUUUAAAGUUUACUUUCUAACUAGUAUUAACAAUGAGUAAAACUCAUUUUUUUCUUUGCAACCGUCUCAUAAUGAGAUAUGCACCAAAUAAGAUGUUUACAAAACUUGCAAUCAGAAAGUAUGUAAUUUACUAUUCACUUGAUUUCAAUGUAACACUAUUAGUGAGGUAAUGUUUGAUGUACCUGAAUUAUAAUCAAUAGAUAAUAUGAAAUGUGUAUAAUUUGAUUUGAUUCCUUGUAAUGUACAAAGCCUUCAUACUCAAUCUUAUAUGCACAAACAAUUUUUCUCUCUUUUGUUUUGUAGAACAGUAUUUAGUCGGUUUCACGAUUUUAAUUAAACUUUCCUGCCUCAUGUACAAAGAUACUGUCAGUCUCUUAUUUUAAAGAUAUUGGCAGUUUCUUUAUGCCCUGAAUAAAAUUACAUACAGAAAUGGUUCUUUCUUCACAUCUAUUUAAAUAUAUCAAUUUUCGCCAUAUUUAUUGAAAUUAGUUUCUUCUAAUUUGCAACACUAGGCCAUAUUUUAUCUAAAUUGCGUCUACGUCAAUCUCUAACGAACGGAAAAGUGUAAUUCUUCAAAAAUUAAUCAGAUAAAUAAUAUGAGAUUUAAAGUUGUUAAAGUAAAAGCAAAACCAAUAACAGUAAUUAAUGUUUAAUUUUGAAAUUUGUCACUUUACAUAGUAAUAAACAAACGUCAUAGAUCAUAUAAUACACAAGUAUUUUUUCGUAGUAGUUAAAAAAUCAGACUUUCUAGGCCUGCAGCCUAUGAAACGGAGUUACAUUAUACAUUGUAUUUCUGUUGGACUUUAAUCUAAUCACAGUUUAUUCUGAUGCAUGAAUUAACGUAAGUUUAUCAGCCACGAUUUUUGUGACGAGAUUAUUAAAAAAAGAACAAACUUCUAAUAUACCUUUUUCCACACAUUCCAAUCACAAUUUUAUCCCAGUAAUACUACCCUUACCCUGGACCAUUUGGAAUCGUUUCACCAUCAAAUAAUCAUAUACUCUAAUUUAAUAAAAUUUGCCAGCACAAAAACUUUUACUAUCUCAACGUUCUUUCUAUUUAAAGCCUUAAGAAAGUUCUAUUUAGUUUACCUCAGCAUUACAAACUAAAUAUUUUUAGAUAGUUCUUUUUAUUAAUCGCUGUCAAUUAUCAUCCUCAACAAUACGUGCAUGAUCAUUGCGAUCCAAGGUAUUGGCGUAUCUUCUCACUUUGUAUUGUACAGGUAUAAUAAUAUACCAACAGUUUAGCGUUUCUUACAUUAAGUUCCAUACAUUUAGUAAAGACAAUGUAUAGAGAGGAAUCAACUUUCAAUUUUUUUUACAUAUAAUCCGUAGCAAUAAUUAAAACGAAUAUUCAAAGCAUACACAUAAUUAGCUAUACAUAAUUUAUAGGGUAACGCAUAAAGUAAGACAAAUCACUUUAACAUCGUUUACGUUCUCUAAAAUUCCAUUAUCAAGAAAUGUUAAUGCUUAUCCAAUUUUUAUGUAUAUAUAUAUGCGUGUAUUUUUCGUAUUUAUAUAAAUAUUUUUAUCAGUAAAUUCACGUUAGUAUACAAAUACGAAUGAACCAAACAGAAAAAUUACGUUGAAACGUUUCUCAUUUGAUUAUUCAAUGAUAUUAAAAAUAUACAUAGAAUUAAAAAAGAUCCAACAUACAGUUGGGCGAAAAAUGCUAUACACAUGACUUAUCAUUUUAGAAGCGAUUUUUCUUUUUUUUAUACAAAUACCAACCACGAAUUUUAUUAUUGAUGUAAUUGAAAUUAAAUACUGUUACAUUAUUGUCACGUUUAAUGAGAUAUCAAAAAAUGUGAAUUUAAAAGAAAAAUAACAGAAAAUUUCUGGUCUUAAAAUUCAUUUCAUUUUUGCAACACGCUACUACGUUAAACUUAUUGAAGAUUUCAUUAGUAGUAUUUCUCUUUAAAAUAAUCUUCUUAAUUCAAAAUAAAAAAAAAAUUAAAAAAAAAAAAGGAAACGAAAAU